AAGAUAGAUACUAAUAAUCCUCAUACAUACCCCAUCAUCCAAAGCACAAGAGAGCAAGGUCCAAACCUUAUUUAUGUUACACCAAACCGACAAGUCCAAAGCACGAGAGACGCCUUAUUUAUGUACAACAUCACCGGUCCAAGUAAACAAGGCUUAAGAUAUUGAAAGAUGCAUCUUGGCAAGCCCUUCAUUCAGGAAGCUGAUAGGACGACACUCCACUAGACCAUUACUAGCUAACUCCUCCCAACUGGGUUUGGCACACCUAUUCCGAGUUGCUUCCAGGCUCAUCUCAUGGGAAUAUCUCAGUAAUCGGCUCCUAGUUGCUUCCAGGCUCAUAUCCCGGGGAUCAAAUAUGUUACCAAUAUUUUUCCGGUUUGUACUCUUCUUCUCGUUACUGUGACUCCCUCGUGAGGACUUGCCCUUGGUGUUCUUGUGCUUGUCUUUUUUCUUUGCCUUGGGUCGCUGGAGACGGUUUUGCACAGUGUGCGACAUAGAGCUGACAAGCGGGUCGUAAACCUCUGGUGCCCAUUUUACAUGUAACUUCUCAUUCUGGGAUACCCCAUUCUGUGCACGGCCCCCUUUCAUGGCAGAAACAAGUUCAAAACGAGAAGGAAGAGAUACAGAUCGUGCAUAGGAAGAACUUCCAGUUGCAGCAGAUGGACCUUGCUCAGCUUUAUAGAUUUUGUCCGGAAAUUG
RNAcentral lists this unclassified non-coding RNA (696 nucleotides) under Hevea brasiliensis (rubber tree). The record is from RNAcentral. Lineage: Eukaryota; Viridiplantae; Streptophyta; Magnoliopsida; Malpighiales; Euphorbiaceae.